Molecule: ribosomal RNA, 502 nt
Filed under: uncultured Glomeromycotina
Lineage: Eukaryota; Fungi; Glomeromycota
Description: partial small subunit ribosomal RNA
Rfam family: Eukaryotic small subunit ribosomal RNA
Source: RNAcentral
CCAAUAGCGUAUAUUAAAGUUGUUGCAGUUAAAAAGCUCGUAGUUGAACUUCGGGGUUUACCCAUUGGUCAGGCUUAAUUGUCUGUACUGGUGAGAUGAAUCUCUACCUUCUGAGGAACUUUCAUGCCAUUUAUUUGGUGUGAUGGGAAAUCAGGACUGUUACUUUGAAAAAAUUAGAGUGUUUAAAGCAGGCUAACGUCUGAAUACAUUAGCAUGGAAUAAUGCAAUAGGACGGAUUGAUUCUAUUUCGUUGGUUUCUAGGAUCACCGUAAUGAUUAAUAGGGUUAGUUGAGGGCAUUAGUAUUCAAUUGUCAGUGGUGAAAUUCUUGGAUUUAUUUAAGACUAACUACUGCGAAAGCAUUUGCCAAGGAUGUUUUCAUUAAUCAAGAACGAAAGUUAGGGGAUCGAAGACGAUCAGAUACCGUCGUAGUCUUAACCAUAAACUAUGCCGACUAGGGAUCGGACGAAGUUAAUUUUAUAAUGACGCGUUCGGCACCUUACG